Poecilia latipinna (sailfin molly) is the source of this 395-nucleotide long non-coding RNA. RefSeq lists it as uncharacterized. The transcript is spliced from 2 exons. The record is from RefSeq and is a predicted model, not a curated record. NCBI's taxonomy places the organism in Eukaryota, Metazoa, Chordata, Actinopteri, Cyprinodontiformes, Poeciliidae.
UCACAAAAAUAUAAAACAUCCUUCGGGGCCCCCGAAAUGCCGGGGCCCCGGGCUGCAGCCCCGGUAAGCCCCUGCUAAAAUCCGGCCCAGGCUCUAACACUGAAGGAGUUAAUUCACUGACUCCGCCCCAGAAUCACAGAUUCCUACCGAAGCAAAGCGACAGAAGCCAAGUCAUUUCAGGACUAUUUACUUUCCACAUGUCUGAGGUGUUUACCACGCUUGAACCAGUCUGGUUGCAGAUGAAUCUCCAGUCGUCAGCCUAACCUCCCCCUCCUGAUCCCUCCAUGGAUUCUUCGAAGAUUCAAGCUCCAAAAAUGAUUAUUUAAGUGUUAAUAUCUCUGAAACCCUACAUUUCUGUAAUGGAGGCUUGUUGUUAGAGUUGUAGUAAAAAUGUA